CGGGAAGUGGGCGUGUGCAACUGCGCAGACCCGGUCGGAAGUCAGGACAGACUCCGGCUGUGUGGUUUAGAGACGGUUCACGUUGUGGCCGAGAGGCCAGACGAUUCGAUUUUCCUUGUCGGUGACCUUCAGUGCCAGUGGAGGCAUGCCGGGACCCAGUAGGCCUCGGCUGUUGCGCGACUCGCGCGACAGACAGCCGUGUUGGAUCCUGCAUAGCAUGUCGCCUUCCUCCGAGGAUGCCUGAGCUCCUGCGGUGGAGGACGGUCGGGGGAGGCCGGGUCUGGCGGCUCGGUGUGGCACUCGGCGCCGCGCGUUCCGGGAAGGUCUCCCCGUGCUCUGUGGAACUAGAGAUAGGAGAGAUGAAGAAACCGAGCCAAGUCUGGCUGCUCCAGAUCCUCAGGACUAAGAAUCCUGCCUGUUGGGCUGAAGCAAAGGCUGUGUGAAGGGGACGGGGUGAGUUUAUAAUGUCAGACAGACUGCCAGAUCCGGACAGUGACCCAAAGUCUCCAAAGAAGAUUACGAGGCACCUCAGUUCCUGCACCUGGACCAGUGAGCGAGAUGCUCAGAUGUGAAACCUGCCGCCUGCCAGAACCUGGCCGAGACUGUGGACAAAGCUGCUGGACACUGGAAAAUUGAUUGCACCCCUUUGCCUAGACAAAACAAGACAUCUGAAUAUCAGUUGCUGACUACAGACUGUUCUAAGACUGCGAGCCCUAGACUUGCUAUGAAUGUGAACCAGUUCAGCUGAUGUGGACACCCCCUGUCUCUACAACAGUGUCUGCUAACCAGAAGCCCCUGAUGGAUUCCCCAUUGCCUAAAUUCCUUUUUGCUUUUGACUAGCAUUUCAACCUUCUGGGGUCCCUAACUUCGUCCCAAAGUCAGCAGGAAGCAGUUUGGAAAAGAAUUUCGCCGUCCAUUUUCCCUGGUUAAAAUGCUAAGUCAAAAGGAACUCCCUUACAUGGGGAUGCCAAUAUCUAUCACUCCCUGAUGGGGAUGCUAGAGAGACAGCAAUUCCAUGAUUGGAAUUUCCAGAAAAGAAAAUGGGGGAAUGAAGGAACCGGCUUCCCUUUUGGCAGCCAUAAUGGUUGAACAUGUGCUUCUAUGACCUUGUCCUAGAAACCAGAAAGUCAGAUGCCUGUCUUGUGACAAGGAACCAAUCAGAAGUUAGCUGGUGGUGCUAUGCUUUAUGGCUCUGGGUGUGCUUUACGGACAAGCGCACAGCAAUGACGUAGAGAGCAUAGCAACCACCCUGGGAGGGCCUAUGAGCCAUAACAACCAG
Molecule: long non-coding RNA, 1279 nt
Filed under: Cricetulus griseus (Chinese hamster)
Lineage: Eukaryota; Metazoa; Chordata; Mammalia; Rodentia; Cricetidae
Description: lncRNA (ENSCGRG00015042399.1)
Source: RNAcentral